Molecule: transfer RNA, 76 nt
Filed under: Bacillus phage vB_BanS_MrDarsey
Lineage: Duplodnaviria; Heunggongvirae; Uroviricota; Caudoviricetes
Description: tRNA-Trp
Rfam family: tRNA
About the family: Transfer RNA (tRNA) molecules are approximately 80 nucleotides in length.
Source: RNAcentral
UACGUCCUUAGUGUAGUGGUAACACGCUAGUCUCCAAAACUAGUAUCCUUGGUUCAAAUCCAAGAGGGCGUGCCAU